ACGACCUUAUUUUGUCUUCAA
RNAcentral lists this microRNA (21 nucleotides) under Strongyloides ratti. Its description in RNAcentral is "str-miR-8395-5p". The record is from miRBase by way of RNAcentral. Lineage: Eukaryota; Metazoa; Nematoda; Chromadorea; Rhabditida; Strongyloididae.